UUAGAUUUCAUUUUUUUAGAUUUCGUAAGGUACAAACUUAUAAAGGAAUAAACACACCAUUACAUGAAACCAUUACAGAAAGUUAACUUAAUCUUUGAUCAAUUCUAUGAACUUCUUUAGUCUAGCAAUAAGAAACAAUCUUAACAAUUUGAAUGCUAUAAAAAAAAGCUGUUUAGGCGGUUUUGUUUAGUUGUACAGAUUUUGACGACAAGGAAUGUCAACACCGUAUUUCCCCAAGAGAAUUUGAGACUUGGUGCAAAUAUGAUUUGGAGAAAGUUCAUGGUGAAAAUAUUUAUGUAGAAUAAUCAAACUAGGAAAUAAAACAAUUCACUCUAUGGACCCUAUGAGAGAACAGAUAAAUUCCAUCAAAAGGAGAAGUUUAAUGGAAUAGUUGUUACUUACAACAAAGAUAAGGUGUUUCAGAAAAGUUUGAAAUAUUAACAUUUCCACAUGCCAUACAAGCUGAAGGUAUAACAUUUGGAGUAUUCUGCUUUAAGUUAUACAAACGGAGAAGUAUUGGUGUGUGUCUUUCCACAUGAAGAAGUUAAUGCAUACAGAAAGAGAGAAAAAGGAGGUCACAAAAGUUGGCAGAAUAGUUUGUGUCGCAUUUGUGGAAGUGAAAUUGGUCCAAAAACUAGAAAAAAUCAAAAAAAGGUUAAACAGAUCAAAUGUGAUAUUUGCAUCCAAAUCGAUGGUACCGUAUGAGAUGCAUUGUUUUUAGAAAUGAAACUUUAUUUUGUUGUGAACAUAUUUAUAUAUAAAUGUAAUAAUAAAUAAAACUUUAAAAAUUGCA
Non-coding RNA from Hydra vulgaris (swiftwater hydra), 793 nucleotides. The record is from RefSeq and is a predicted model, not a curated record. NCBI's taxonomy places the organism in Eukaryota, Metazoa, Cnidaria, Hydrozoa, Anthoathecata, Hydridae.